GUAGGCGGUUUAGUAAGCAAAUAGUGAAAUCAUGUGGCUCAACCAUACUGACUAUUAUUUGAACUGCAGAACUUGAGAGCGAGAGGGGUGAUUGGAAUUCCCGGUGUAGGAGUGAAAUCCGUAGAUAUCGGGAGGAACACCAAUGGCGUAGGCAGAUCACUGGCUCGUUUCUGACGCUAAGGCACGAAAGCGUGGGUAGCAAACGGGAUUAGAUACCCCGGUAGUCCACGCCGUAAACUAUGGAUGCUAGCUGUUUGGAGUAUCGACCCUCUGAGUAGCGAAGCUAACGCGUUAAGCAUCCCGCCUGGGGAGUACGAUCGCAAGAUUAAAACUCAAAGGAAUUGACGGGGACCCGCACAAGCGGUGGAGCGUGUUCUUUAAUUCGAUGUUAAACGAAGAACCUUACCAGGACUUGACAUCCUUGGAAUUUUUAUGAAAGUAAAAAGUGCCUUUUGGAACCAAGUGACAGGUGUUGCAUGGCCGUCGUCAGCUCGUGUCGUGAGAUGUAGGGUUAAGUCCCUUAACGAGCGCAACCCUUGUGAUUAGUUGUAUUUUUCUAAUCAGACUGCCUCGGCAACGGGGAGGAAGGAGGGGAUGAUGUCAGGUCAGUAUUGCCCUUACGUCCUGGGCUAGAAACGCGCUACAAUGGCUAGUACAAAGGGCAGCCAACCCGCAAGGGGGAGCUAAUCCCAUCAAAGCUAGUCUCAGUUCGGAUUGCAGGCUGAAACUCGCCUGCAUGAAGCUGGAAUCGCUAGUAACCGUAAGUCAGCAAAUUACGGUGAAUACGUUCCCGGGUCUUGUACACACCGCCCGUCAAGCCACGAAAGUCGCCAACACCCGAAAUCUGAUUUAAUUCGGCCUAAGGUGGGGGAGAUAAUUGGGGUU
Molecule: ribosomal RNA, 885 nt
Filed under: uncultured Candidatus Saccharibacteria bacterium
Lineage: Bacteria; Candidatus Saccharimonadota
Description: bacterial SSU rRNA
Rfam family: Bacterial small subunit ribosomal RNA
Source: RNAcentral